AGAGCGAACGCUGGCGGCAGGCCUAAUACAUGCAAGUCGAACGGACCCUUCGGGGUUAGUGGCGGACGGGUGAGUAACACGUGGGAACGUGCCCUUUGGUUCGGAACAACUCAGGGAAACUUGAGCUAAUACCGAAUGUGCCCCCAUCCUUAAACAAGAUGGGUGGGAAAGAUUUAUCGCCAUUAGAGCGGCCCGCGUCUGAUUAGCUUGUUGGUGGGGUAAUGGCCCACCAAGGCUACGAUCAGUAGCUGGUCUGAGAGGAUGAUCAGCCACACUGGGACUGAGACACGGCCCAGACUCCUACGGGAGGCAGCAGUAGGGAAUCUUGCGCAAUGGGCAAAGCCUGACGCAGCCAUGCCGCGUGAAUGAUGAAGGUCUUAGGAUUGUAAAAUUCUUUACAGCGGGAAGAUAAUGACUGUACCCGCAGAAGAAGCUCCGGCUAACUUCGUGCCAGCAGCCGC
Molecule: ribosomal RNA, 461 nt
Filed under: uncultured bacterium
Lineage: Bacteria
Description: SSU rRNA
Rfam family: Bacterial small subunit ribosomal RNA
Source: RNAcentral